Molecule: long non-coding RNA, 759 nt
Filed under: Coturnix japonica (Japanese quail)
Lineage: Eukaryota; Metazoa; Chordata; Aves; Galliformes; Phasianidae
Description: lncRNA (ENSCJPG00005005115.1)
Source: RNAcentral
UGCAUUUUCAGUCUGCAGCCUUUAUAAGGAUAUUGCUCCACUGGGAUUAGAAGAAAAUUAUUAGAGGAAAAUAUCAGGUUCAGUCACCGUGCUGUGAAUAUUAUUUCUAGACAGGUCUGUUCUUCAUUUCAUGUUUCCUUCAAAAUGACCUGAAAAUGACCUGUUAAAGAGAAUUUACCUCAAAAUCGGGACAGUAUGCACGGACUCAUACCUACUGGAGACCAUGAACCAUGCUGGGGCAGCAGCUCAGUGCUGGAACAGCUUUCCAGGAGUUUCAAAAGGACUUUCUGAAUUUAAAGAGCAUGUCACCAGAAUACAAUACAGGAAUACAUCUUAGCAUUUGACCUUAUGACUAAACACUUCACAAUUACAGAUCCUGGGAUCUUAGGUAUCAGUUUUUCUGUCUGCUUUCAAUAUGAGUGGAUAUUGCUGUUGCUCCUCUGUGGGACCUGCAGUACUUUGCAGAUGAGUCUUCAGGGCUGGUGAGAUUUGCUGUGAAUGACUAAAACAUGCACUGGACAAUAGUGUAUUAGUCAGACCUUCUUCCAGCAAAGUAACUUCAUUCCAUUUACCUAAGGCUGGGACACAGUGCUCUGUGCAAGGGAAUGGACUCUCACCUGUGGAUGGACAGAUACCAGACUGCCUUCUCUGCUCAUUAAGGUCAUUAUUAGCAAUUUUUGUUCCAAUGAAAGACCUAGAAAUUCUCAUAUUUCUCUUAAAACCCAGUGGAGUACAUCUGUUCCUAAAUUUAUAGGGAAG